Long non-coding RNA from Drosophila rhopaloa, 311 nucleotides. RefSeq lists it as uncharacterized. Lineage: Eukaryota; Metazoa; Arthropoda; Insecta; Diptera; Drosophilidae. The record is from RefSeq and is a predicted model, not a curated record. The transcript is spliced from 2 exons.
GGCAAAGGAAAGCUACGUAAAAAAAAAAAGGUCCGUACCAAGCCAGACUGAAUCUUCGGACUAUUUCACUUGCUUGCAAGCAAAAUUGCAAGCAAAAAAUACCACGGCGCGCUGCGAAGCAAUAGUUACGAAUUAGGCAGAAGUGAAGUAUUGGAAGGAGUCGCCGAACAUUAUGGCGCCCUUCAAAGAAGUGUCAAAAUAAUUUCUAUGUGUCCCUGCCACUUCCUGCGAGUCAGAAAGAGCCUUCAGCAAGGCGGGGCAAAUUAUUUCUGACCGCAGGACCGCGCCUAACGGCUGAUGUUGUUGACCAA